Molecule: long non-coding RNA, 3385 nt
Organism: Ictalurus punctatus (channel catfish)
Lineage: Eukaryota; Metazoa; Chordata; Actinopteri; Siluriformes; Ictaluridae
Source: Ensembl
AAGAGAUUAUUUUUAGACAAGGAAUUUUUUUUUUUUACUAUUUGUCUAUCCUUUUUAAUCUAUGAACCAUAUCUUAUGCUUGUCAGUGUAAAGUGUACAGGUUAUAUUUCUGGUUUAAGGAAAUUUGUUUAAAGGUAACUAUUUUGUUAUGAUCUUCAAAGUAUAAAUCUGUAAUGACAUAUCAAACCUACAGUAUGAGGGCUAAACUGAGGGAUGCAAACAUAUUAAAUGUAUUAAUCUAGCUAAGCUUUAACAGAUUCAUGUAUGCAGUAUAGUGUUCAGGGAAAGAAAUACUGGCACAAAUUGACGGCAGAGUUCACGAGUUCACUUAUCAGAAAUAAGUUAAAACGUAUUUUAUUUCAUUUCAAGUAUAACCAGACAACAGCAUAAAUUUCACAGAUUGAUGUGUUUUGGUACAUGUUGUCUGCCAUUUUAAUUUUUUUUCAUCUUUUUUUUACUAAAAAACAGUCAAGUAAACAGAUUUAUUUUGGACAGUCAAGUGGACAUAAAGCUUCCAAAAAGAGAAAAUAUAAGCAGUGGAUGCAAUACACAAACUAGCUAUUUAUAUAAUAAACAAUCCAAACCCUCAUGCUAGGGUGAUUUAGUUAUUUUGAUGAUAUCUACCUGCACUCGAUGAAUGUCCGUUCAGCAUUUUCUGCCGCCGUAUUUCUGAACAGCGAAUGAAAGAUUUUUAGAAGCACAUUUUCAGUCCUACAUACCUUUUUAUUUUUGGUUUGCUUAAUUUAAAAGCAAAAUUAACCAAACCGAUCAAUUCCAUCUCCACAAAAUUAUGUGUGAAUGCUCACCAGAUCCUGAUUUCUUUUAAGCUUGUAUUGUAAAGCAUGGAUGUCCUGAUAUUUGUUGACAAUUAAAAGAUGUUACAUUGACACAAAAAAAACCUAGUUCAACAAAUUAGUUUUAGUGCCUAAUACAUCUCUCUCUGAUUGGCCAUAAUCUCAUUUAUGAACCAUAUCAUUGUUAGAGAUGUACUAAAGAUUCAUACAGGAUCAUAAUAUAAUUGUGAUUCGAUAUUGCCUCAGUGCUCUCUAGAGUUAGUCAAACCUGCAGCAUGAUUAUUUGCUCUCUCUGAGUCUGUUUCUGUGAAAUGAUCAAUGGCCUUAUUUUCCUUUAGCAGCAACUUUAGCAAUGUCCAUGAUUAUCAGAAUAAUUUAGCUUGGUCAUGUUGCAUGUCUCCUCAUCAUGUUUGGGGGAAAAAAGCCCCCGUCACAUUGGAGUGUGUGAGUGCGGUGCUGUGAGUCGGUACUGGUCCCGACACGCUCUGCAGCUCUACAACGUGAUUGUGUUAUUUUGUAACAGCUCUAAACUGGAGCUGGGAUGCUUCAGGGACUUUAUUCCACCUCCUACACAGAUCUCAUUAUGAUUCAGCUGAGCACAAGCAAUCUUAAUACUGUUGUUAAUGCACACAGAAAAUAUACGCUGCUUUCUAGAAGUACCCCCCCCACCCCCCCUUGAACUUUUCCAUGUUUUGUAGUGUUACAACCUGGAGCUGAAAUGGACUUAACUGGGCUUUCAUGUCAUGACUCUUUAAAAAUAUAUAUAUCACAAUAAUUGAAGUGUAAAGAAAAAAACUAAUAUAGUUUGCAAUAUUAUCCAUCCAUUCAUUUUCUAUACCAUUAAUCCUACACAGGGUUGUGGGGGAGCCUGGAGCUUGGCGGGGCUAACCCAUCACAGGGCACAAUUUCACACACACAUACACUACAUACAGUUUAGAAAUGCCAAUCAGCCUACAACGCAUGUCUUUGGAAUGGGGAAAGAAACCAGAGUACUUAGAGGAAGCCCAUGGAGCACAGGGAGAGCAUGCAAGCCCCAUGUACACAGGGUGGAGGUGGGAUUCGAACCUACCAUUCCCCCCUGUUUGCAAUAUUACUUAGAAAUACAAACUGUGAUUACAGUAUUCACCAUUGCUGUGAAACACCUAAAUUUGUUCUCUGACUAUUCCCCUCAUUAGUUGUGGUUGUAUCAUAUACCUUCCGUUUUUUAAUAAUGUCUUUAAAUUGAAUAUAUACAUUUUUUUUUUAUAGCUGAUGAUUAAUUUAGGGUUAUAAGAGCAAGGGAGUGUGAAUUCUUAUAUACAAUUAAAACUUUGGCACUUUUAUUUGCAAAUUAUUUACCCCCCCCCCCCCCCCCCCCCCUUCUUUCAGUAUUAUAUGAUAUUUUGUUAGACUUAUGACAUUUUAAUCCAAAUUAAAUCCAUUUCAGUUCCUGAUUGUAACACUACAAAAUGUGUAAGUUUUUUGUUUUUCUUGGGGGGGGGGUUGUACUUAUGCACGCCACUGUAGUGACAGGAACUGUUAAUGUACCAUAUUACAUGUGAUAUAUGGUAUGUUUGACAUAUUGAUGUUGACUGUAAAUUAGGUUUUAUAUAUGAAUUUAUAGGAAAAUGAGAUGAUCUAAUGUUUUUUUGAUUUUUGUGUUUGACCCAAAAUACAACCUAUUUUAACUACAAUAUUAACGAUCUUAAGAUGAGUGUUGCUGACGAGUGUUAUCUACUGACAGUUAAACCCAGAUGGGGUUUAAAACUGCUUUUGGGUUUCCACUGAUUUAAUAUAAAAGGUUAAGGUACAUGUUUCAUCCUAUUGUUUGCUGUUGUGUGUAUUAGCCUGAUUACUGAGUCACCUCUGUGGCCCUGUAGCAGCACUCUCUACAUUCCAGAUGAUGUAGUGAUUUUCUAUGUUUCUAAAUUGUUUUUGUCAAAUUAAGUAUUCUACCUCUUAUAUACAAAUUACGAAUAUACAGAUUACAGCUGUACAGUUUCCUCCUGCAUAUACAGGGUAUGUGUGUGUGUGUGUAUAUAUAUAUAUGUAUGUAUAUAUAUAUAUAUAUAUAUAUAUAUAUAUAUAUAUAUUGCAGCAUAUAUAAAGAAUCUUAAUGAUGUUAGUGUAGCUCAGUAUUUUUACUUUUCAUGAGUAGUAAAUGGACAAAAUGAAAUGCAAAACAAUGUAUCGCUUUUUAAAAAGUAAAAAGACAACAAAAAAACAGAAUAAAAUGCUAAUUGUUUUGCACAUUUGAUGCUAAAAUGGUGUUUUGUGUUCUGUGUGUAGACAUUCACACUCCAGUACACUCCACAAAGAAUAAUCGUGUUCGCUCAUAAUUGAACGUGUUAAACGCUGUACUUUAUUGUCGUUUUCUUGUGGCUCAUUGAUCCCUCCACUGCACCACAUUCCUUCAUUUCCUUUCCAUGUGACGUGAACUAUUAAUUUAAGCUGAAGGCAAUGCUGAGCCCUUAUUAAUCAGCAAUAUAUGCACGGAGAUAUGUGAGUAAAUGGUGUCUAGGAACUUUUACAUGCAAAAUAUGGGAUUUAAUAAUGUGCUGGCUCUCUGAAAGAGCUGACUUUUUUUGUGAACGACACAUAACUUAAUCCCA